GCGUUGUCCGGAUUUACUGGGCGUAAAGCGCGCGCAGGCGGCAAGUCAAGUGUGCAGUAAAAUCUCCCUGCUCAACGGGGAGGGCGCUGUGUAGACUGGCUAGCUAGAGGUCGGUAGAGGGUGGUGGAAUUGCUGGUGUAGCGGUGAAAUGCGUAGAGAUCAGCAGGAACACCCGUGGCGAAGGCGGCCACCUGGGCCGUACCUGACGCUGAGGCGCGAAGGCUAG
This 226-nucleotide ribosomal RNA is filed under the name uncultured bacterium. RNAcentral's name for it is "partial 16S ribosomal RNA". It matches the Rfam family "Bacterial small subunit ribosomal RNA", at positions 538 to 763 of the family's 1533-position model. The record is from RNAcentral.